UCCACGAACAAUCUGAAUAAGCUUGAGUUUCAUAAAAGAUAAUGAUAGCAUACAUAGUUUAAUGUUUUCGUAUGACUUUCUGAAAUUUUUGUUAACAAUAUGACUUAGAUGUUGAGCUCGAGGCUAUAUGGUACCGUGUGCACAUAGGUUAGAUUUCGUUGUCGAGUUUGAGUGUACUCCGUAACAUUGAUGUUGUCAUGAGUGUUGGGGCAGACCCCACUACAACAAAGACAAAGGGAGUGUUGGGCGGGUCCCACUACAUUGUAGAGCUAGUAAACGUUGGUUGUACUGGGCAUGCCCUACACAAUAUAGAUUUGUCAUGUUAGUUAAAAAUAGAUAUGCCUUGCUAUAUUUCAAUGACAAACUUGCUGAGUAUUUGAGAAAACUGUUAGUAGUACACGUUUAUAUUUAAGGUUUUGACUAAACAUAUAAAAAUGUGUAAGGUUUUUCAUGUGCUCUGAUUUCCAGAGUUACAGUUUUGAACUUAAUCACUCACUUAGCUUUAUAACUUACUCUUCCAAAAUGUUUUUUCACUUUUCAGGUAGAGAUCGAGCUCCCGAUGCCUGAUAAACUACCUUAGUCUGCUGAAAGCUCUAAGAUCAUUAGCCAGUACAUGGGUGGAGUUGUACAUAGUCUAUUUUGUUAUGUGUUUAUUUGUCUUUGAAGGAUUUAGAUACUUUACAAUUUAUGUAAGCUCUGCGUGUUGUGAUUGUAUAAACUUUUGUUGGAUAUCCUUCUACUUAGGAUGUCUUAAUCAGGUUUAUUUGCUAAACCAACUGUUUCAGGGCUACAUUUCCAUGUAUGUCUAUGGGUUGUUUAGGUUCCGUUGUGUUGUGUUGCAUGAAAAGUAGUUUAUAUACAAUAUUAGCAUGUUUAUCAGGUUCAAUAGUUUAUCAAAAUUGACAGGUAUCGUUAGAGGAGAGUGAUGUCAGUCGGCUUCAUGUCGUCUUCCAGGCUAAGUUAGUAGGUCGUUCGAGAGGGGGUGUAAUAUGUCAUAAAAUAAAAUAUGACAAAAUAAUUUCACAUAUAUGGUGGGUCCCUUUUACAAGAUACCUAGCACAACAUUGAUAUUCAACCUUUGGGUAGAGAUAUCAACUUUAGUACUCUCCAAUUAGCCUUUCUUUAGAUUGACUAUUUUUCACAUGAAAAAUCCUUAUAACUAUCACUUACUCAUUGUCACAUGCAUACUCAUAAUUUGGCCAAAUAAUUAUCUUCCUUUGGACUGAUAAUCAUUCGUAUAAAUCCAAUGAAUAUGCAUAUCCUAUAUUUUAGAGUUAAACUAAUCUAGAUAACAGAGGCUACUUUGGCAACAUGUUAUUUUGUUAAUUCAAUCUAAAAUAUGAGACACAAUAAUGAUAAUUUUAUUAUUGUAAAAAAAAUAAUGGAGGAAGAACAUAAAUCUUUAUCAAAAUUCACCAAAUAAUUGGUUUCAUUAAAAUACAAUUCAUGCAACAUAAGCAUGUGAACAUCCCAAAAAAUUAUCAUUCAAGUUUAAUCCGCAUAAUGAUAAAUUAAUCUUGCUCAAAUUAAACUUGAAUUCACAACAUGAAUAAUCAAAUCUUAAAUCUAGAUCAAUUAAACAUAAAACCACAAUAUGAUUAAUCAAAUAUUGAACCUACAACAUGAUCAAUUAAACUUGUAUUCACAACAUAAUUAAUAAAAUAUUGAAUCAGAUCAAUUAAACCUAAGACCAUAAUAUGGUUAAUCAAAUUUUGAAUCAAGAAACCAAUAAAAAAAAAUUCCAACAAUCCAACAUGAAAUUCAUGCCCUGGUACCACUUGUUGGCAUAAAUACUUUUAAAUCUAUAAAAUAGAUCAACCCAAGAUCAUUCAUGUUAAAUUGUUAAGAGUAAUUUACGUACUAGAUUUCGUUGAUUAUUACUAUAAAAUAGCUAUUGUCUUCUCAAUCAAAACCCUAAAUGUCAUUAGUGGGAUCUUUCUCUUGAUAGAAUAGUAGAAAGAUUGAGUGCCUAUUGUUUUAGUAUAUUGGAGACCAUAGCUCUAAGUCCCUUUUAUAUACUAGUUCAAUUAGGAUUUCUAUUAAAUCCUAAUCAAUCUAGAGUAGGCUUCUACCAAUUUAAUCCAUACUCAAUUAGGAAUCUUGAAUCUUAGUUAAAUAGAUAACAUAAUAGGUCAAAUUUAAUAAAAUAAUAAAUUAUAAUAAAUUAUUAAUUCACGUACCAAUUAUAUGUAUUAUUAUUUAAAUACAUCUAACUCUUCUCAUACAUAACAUUGAAGUUUAUCGCCAGAAAAUUCCAAGACUUUGUGUAUUCCUUAGUAGCCCAAUUUGUUGAGGCCCAAAAUAGAGGCCCAAUUGAGUUGGUUUGUCCAUUUUUCAAAUGGAGACCACUGGUUCAGUUAUGAACUCGUGGGUUUUAGAAGUAAACCCGAAAAAGAAGAUUCCGAUAAUUUUAAGAACUUAACAAAGUAAUAAUUAGAAAAAUUAACAAACGCAAGAAACUGAGGCAAAGGGGUUGGAGUAAAGCCCAAGCCAUCCAAUAUCUACUAAAAUCAAGUGUGUUGCUCGUUCCAGCAUUUCUCUUUGCGAUUCAACUCUCUCUUCUUUCAGGUUUCGAUUUCUUCUUUCAUCUUCAAAGAUUCAGUUCAUUUUCCAUAUCUCAUUGUUUUCCUUUUUAGGGUUUUGGAAUGUGAUUCUGUUCCUUUGAUUUUAAUUUCCGUUUCGAUUUCGGCGCAAACAUUUCCGAUCGACCUGGACUGACGAUUGCUUACCCUUUUUUUCCCUCAUAUCGCAGAGAUUCUCAUAGUUUUUCCACAAGGAAAGCUUCAUUUUCUGACCUGAUGUCGGUGCGUUUUUCUUCUUAGCAUUAUUUUGCUGCUUCUGGAACUUUUAAUUAGCGUGUAGUUCAUUAUUUUGAUAUUGGAUUGUCAUUGUAGAUCUUUGAGUAUAAUGGAAGUGCUGUAGUUGCGAUGGUGGGGAAGAAUUGCUUUGCCAUUGCCAGUGAUCGUAGGCUUGGUGUUCAGCUGCAGACUAUUGCCACAGAUUUCCAGAAAAUUUACAGGAUUCAUGACAAGCUAUUUCUUGGCCUUUCGGGGCUUGGUACCGAUGCUCAGACACUGUAUGUUUCUGUUGGUGGAUUUCUUUGUUUUGGUCUAAUUUGUCAUUGCUUACCUCCUGCCCUUGAAAUGAAGGUAUCAACGGCUUGUUUUCCGGCACAAACUGUACCAACUUCGUGAAGAGAGGGACAUGAAGCCUGAGACUUUUGCUAGCCUGGUCUCAGCUAUUCUUUAUGAGAAAAGGUUGGACAACUACUUAGUUAUUUCUUUCCUCUUUUUCAGUACCCAUAUUCUCUAUUUCUCGUUUUCGAUGAAAAAAUAUGGAUGGGAUUUCUAUAGGAUUUCCACAGCUUCCUUUGUGUGUGUUGAUUCUUCUACCAAUGUAAUUCUUGUCCUUUGGUGUGAGAUUUUAAGCUAACUUGAGAGUUUAUUGCUUGGGAACCUUUCAAUGCUAUACAGUACAUGCAUGUAGUUAGACCGUGUUAUGGAAUUGGUAUAUGUUUGAAUGACUAAUAAGAUAUUCUAUACUUAGUUUAAAAUAGGAUUGCAAGUUGAAUUUCUGGAUUGUUGAAAUGUGGACAAAGUUGGGAACUGUAUUGGAUCAAGUGUCCAUCUCAAGAUAGUUCCUAGUCUCUAACCUAGCAUUUAUAGGCAACAAGAUCUGUUGUGACAUAAUAACGACUGUGUAAUUGUAGAAUGAACCUUUACUCUCAGUAGGAUGUAAGUUAGUUUUUCACAUAUGCCAUGAAUAUACCAAAAGGUUAAUGAUAGGAAUGCAAUUAGAGAUAUUGUAAGUGUAUAAUAGUAAUUAGGUAGGCCGUAGGCGGUGGUUAUGGGGUUUGGUUAUAAAUGGAGGGACUGUGGAAAGAGGAAGUUAGCAUUGGGUGAGUGAAUAGGUUGGGAGAGAUAUCAGAAGUGUCAGUAUGCAAGUACCUCAAAUCAAAUGUUUAGCUUGUAGUUUCUUCUUAAUGUUGCAACAAUAAGUUUGUAUGUUUUAAGUGUUUGGAUACCAAACACUAGUAUUAUUUGCAUGAUCUGAAUACUUAUAUUUUGGUCUUCUUAAAUUUCAUGAAGUGGAUCACAGUACCAAACUAAACUGUCUCAAUUACCCUACUUUAUAGAAAUGGCCAUGAUGAAAUUGUGAUAUUAUGGGAUUGGGUUAGUACUAAGUACUUAUCGCUCUGAAAAUUUUUUGUUCUAUAGUUUUUUAAUAAGUCAUCCAUGGAUAUCAAUUGACAGGAGAAGGGUUGUGUUUAUAACAUUUUCUAUAAGAUUCAUUCUUUUUUGAUAAGAGGUUGAAUUUAUGACUGUUAUUUGGUCUUUUAGUAUGGAUAAAAACUCGUAUAUCAAUUUUCUUAUUUGUAGGUUUGGUCCAUAUUUUUGCCAGCCUGUAAUUGCUGGAUUGAGUGAUGAAGACAAACCCUUCAUUUGCACGAUGGAUUCCAUUGGGGCCAAGUGAGUACUCUCUUUUUCUCUUUUUUUUUCCUAGUUACCAACUUCUUUAUUUUGUUUGAUUUUAUUUUUCUCUAAAAUCAUUAUUUGCAUUUCUUCAUUUUGUUUGAAAUGUGCAUCUGGCUUGAAGUUGCAGCCUCUGCGACACAUUGCAUUGGAAUCUGAUUUCUGAGAUGAAUAUUUUGCUAGAUUUAGGAUUAUUAAAUGUAAAACUCAUAUGUGUCAAAUUCAUUGGUUCACAGAGAGCUUGCUAAGGAUUUUGUUGUUUCUGGUACUGCAUCGGAGUCCCUUUAUGGUGCUUGUGAGGCAAUGUUUAAACCUGACAUGGUAUGUUGGUAUACUCCAUUUAAAUAUGCUUUAUAUUUGUAAUUGGGAUUCUAAAUUGCUUUACAUGAGGAUGCAGUAUGCAAAAGAAAAGAGAACCCUUAAGAGGAAAGACUUCAGAAUAUAGUACUAAAUGCCAUGGCUUUGGCUUGAGAAUGACGAAUACAUGAAAACAGGGAUGCAGAAACAGAAUCAUAAUAGAAGAAAAAGGAUUAAGUGUAUGUCCAUAGAAGGAAGAGGCAGAGAAAUUAGUGCACGUGUGUGUUAGAAAGAGAGUAGAAAAAAAUCUGAUUAUAGAUGUACAUCAACCAUUUUAGAGAAUGGAAGAAUAAAUUAGGGAAGUAAAACACUCUUCUAGUUGGAGUUGGAAAAUCAGACAUUCAUGGAUCAAAGGAAUUGGUAUGUUCAUGGACAAUCAUUGGAAAAAGAGAAGAAAAAAGUGAAGAUCACUCUUUGGUCAUGGAUAGUGACUUAAAAUGUACUGUGGUGAACUGAUGAAGUGAUAAAAAAAUCUGAAUUUCGAAUUUCCUGAGAGAUGGCCAACAUGGCGUCUUUGAGUAAGAGCAUUGAAGGUUAAGACAAGUAUAUGAGUGGCACUGGGCAUUUAUCAGUUGGUUAGAUUGACAUUCGAAAAUAUUGAAAACCAAAAGCAAUAAACUUAUGGGUUAUUUUCCAAAGACCGAAAAAAAGAAGAAAAAGGAGAACUAAGUUAAAAAACCGACAUUUCUUUAAAUUGGCACCCAAAUGUUGUAGGGUCAUGCGGGUGUCCCGUAAGAUUAGUCGAGAUGCGUGCAAGUUGGUUCGGAUAUAAAAAUGAAAUUUCAGUCGCCCUAUAUUAUUGGGCGCCUUUAAUUAUCCAGUUUUGAGAUAGUGGUUCAGCUUUUAAAAGACAGUCCAAUAUGGUCUUGCCCUUUUGGAUUUUUAAUUGAACACCUCCUGUUAGAAUGGAAAGCCACCAUAGAUUCUUUUAUCUGAUUGUGCUAUGCUGCACAUGAUGUUCAAAUUUGUCCUAUUGAUUGAUAGCACCUUAAAUAUUCUUGUUAGGAAAAAAUAUUGUCAUAGUUCUUUUCUUUUGUGAAAAUGUUCUCAACUAAACUCACUCCGUUGAUUCAUUUUUGUAAUGCCCAGGAACCAGAGGAAUUAUUUGAGACCAUCUCUCAAGCGCUGCUUUCUUCUGUGGAUAGGGACUGUUUGAGUGGAUGGGGAGGGCAUGUCUAUGUUGUGUAAGCCACAUAUUCUUAACUCUCUAUGUUUAAUGGUCGAUAUAUCUUUCUGGAUAGUUUAUUCGUGUGUGUGUUUUUAAGAAGUUUGAUGUGGAUUGUGAUUACUCUGGUAGAUAUUGCUUUUGCCUUACAAUUAUAUUACUUUGGACGAAAUAAUAUUCAUGACAUAAAAUUACCUUAAUACACCAAUCCACAUAUUAUAAAAAAGGCAAUAAUAAUGAUAAUAUCUGUAACAGAACUUGUCAUGAGGAAAAUUGUGCAAUUUAUUAAUUGACUAGGUACGCAUUAUUAUGUCUUGUUUCAUAAUUUUCGUUUUUGGUUUUCUUAACAAUUUUUUGGUAAACUUUUCACCUUAAAAACACAACGAAUUCUAUGCAAAAUUUCAAAAAACAAAACCAAGUUUUUAAAAUCUACUGUUUUCAAAUUUUGGCUAGGGUUUUUAGAUUUUUUUUCAAAAAGUAGGUAAUAAAAGAAAACUCUACCUAGGUCCCUUUUCUCGACAAUAGACUAGAGACUACGGAUAGUAGUUGUGGGAGGGUGGGGUAAUAAAAGAAAAUUUCUAAUCUUUUGAUGUGUUGCAUGUAAUUUUUUCUCUCUAGUUAAUAAUUUAAACGAUUAUGUUGUAUUCAAAUAAUAGUAAUAAUAAUAAAAUAAUCUCAACCAUUAUGGACACCCUGAGAAUUGAAUCAACAUUUCAGAGAUUUUUCUUUCUUUCAUUGUAAACGAAAAAAAAUUUCUUUCACAUCUACCUAACUCUUACCUUUUUCUCUUUCCCUUUUAACCUUCUUAUCUCUGUUUACCUUUUCCGAUUUUUCAUUGUAUAUUUGUCACUGAAAUUACCCUGUAAUGUGUCAUUGUUGCAGUACGCCUACUGAAGUGAAAGAGCGAAUCUUGAAGGGACGCAUGGAUUGAUCCAUUUUUUUGAUGUUUGAAAGAUGACUUGUUUCAUGAUUACUUCAAAUUAGGCUGCAGUCCAGGGCAAUGGAGUUCACGAGUGAAAUGCAA
Molecule: long non-coding RNA, 7018 nt
Filed under: Cucumis sativus (cucumber)
Lineage: Eukaryota; Viridiplantae; Streptophyta; Magnoliopsida; Cucurbitales; Cucurbitaceae
Description: long non-coding RNA (CSAT_LNC002417)
Source: RNAcentral